AUUUAAUUAGUUUAUUGAAAACAUUAUAUUUUCAAUAUAAAAAUAAAUAAAUUUAAUUUAUUAAAUA
This 67-nucleotide transfer RNA is filed under the name Plectrocnemia sp. 1 YW-2021a. Its description in RNAcentral is "tRNA-Glu". The record is from RNAcentral. Lineage: Eukaryota; Metazoa; Arthropoda; Insecta; Trichoptera; Polycentropodidae.